This 497-nucleotide ribosomal RNA is filed under the name uncultured bacterium. RNAcentral's name for it is "partial 16S ribosomal RNA". It matches the Rfam family "Bacterial small subunit ribosomal RNA", at positions 28 to 507 of the family's 1533-position model. The record is from RNAcentral.
GAUGAACGCUGGCGGCGUGCCUAAUACAUGCAAGUCGAGCGAACAGACGAGGAGCUUGCUCCUCUGACGUUAGCGGCGGACGGGUGAGUAACACGUGGAUAACCUACCUAUAAGACUGGGAUAAUUUCGGGAAACCGGAGCUAAUACCGGAUCAUAUAUUGAACCGCAUGGUUCAAUAGUGAAAGACGGCUUUGCUGUCACUUAUAGAUGGAUCCGCGCCGCAUUAGCUAGUUGGUAAGGUAACGGCUUACCAAGGCGACGAUGCGUAGCCGACCUGAGAGGGUGAUCGGCCACACUGGAACUGAGACACGGUCCAGACUCCUACGGGAGGCAGCAGUAGGGAAUCUUCGGCAAUGGGCGAAAGCCUGACGGAGCAACGCCGCGUGAGUGAUGAAGGUCUUCGGGUCGUAAAACUCUGUUAUUAGGAAAGAACAGAUGUGUAAGAAACUAUGCACGUCUUGACGGUACCUAAUCAGAAAGCCACGGCUAACUACGUG